Molecule: ribosomal RNA, 254 nt
Filed under: uncultured bacterium
Lineage: Bacteria
Description: partial 16S ribosomal RNA
Rfam family: Bacterial small subunit ribosomal RNA
Source: RNAcentral
UACGGGGGGGGGUAAGCGUUGUCCGGACUUACUGGGCGUAAAGGGCUCGUAGGCGGCCAACUAAGUCAUACGUGAAAUCCCUCAGCUUAACUGGGGAACUGCGUGUGAUACUGGAUGGCUUGGAUUUGGGAGAGGGAUGCGGAAUUCCAGGUGUAGCGGUGAAAUGCGUAGAUAUCUGGAGGAACACCGGUGGCGAAGGCGGCAUCCUGGACCAAUAUUGACGCUGAGGAGCGAAAGCCAGGGGAGCAAACGGG